Molecule: ribosomal RNA, 468 nt
Filed under: uncultured bacterium
Lineage: Bacteria
Description: partial 16S ribosomal RNA
Rfam family: Bacterial small subunit ribosomal RNA
Source: RNAcentral
GACGAACGCUGGCGGUGUGCUUAACACAUGCAAGUCGAGCGGUAAGGCCCUUUCGGGGGUACACGAGUGGCGAACGGGUGAGUAACACGUGAGUAACCUGCCCUCAUCUCUGGGAUAACAGUCGGAAACGGUUGCUAAUACUGGAUAUGAGCUUGCAAGGCAUCUUGUGGGUUGGAAAGAUUUUUUUUGGUUGGGGAUGGACUCGCGGCCUAUCAGCUUGUUGGUGAGGUAGUGGCUCACCAAGGCUUCGACGGGUAGCCGGCCUGAGAGGGCGACCGGCCACAUUGGGACUGAGAUACGGCCCAAACUCCUACGGGAGGCAGCAGUGGGGAAUAUUGCACAAUGGACGGAAGUCUGAUGCAGCAACGCCGCGUGCGGGAUGACGGCCUUCGGGUUGUAAACCGCUUUCAAUUGUGACGAAGCUUUUUUGUGACGGUAGCAGUAGAAGAAGCACCGGCUAACUACGUG